UAGGGCUAAACCAGGGGUUUCAGACUUCACUCCUGUGUCCACAGCACUGCAGAGUUUAGCAUUAACUUCAUUUAAUGUUCACUUCUUAUAUAACUGUCUUGUUCUAAAAUGGGAAAAAGCUGUUGGCAUCCAGGAGCUGAGUUUGACCCUCUAUGGCAGUGUUUCUCAGUCAUGUUCCUGACCACUCCAUACAGUUUUAAAUAUUCCAUGAUUCAACGUACCAAGUUUUCAAUAUACCUAACCUAGAGUUACCAGAAGUAGCAUUAAGAGACACUGUUCUAGCAAUGAACAUAUUGGCAAUCCAGGAUUCCUAAAGUCAGUCUUAUGAACGCCAUACUUAGCAAUUUUUUGUGUUUCCCCCACAUGACCAGCCUUUACUUAGGUAAUGAGCUGAAUCUGGUGGAAAAAUAUGCAACACAUAGGGUUUAAUGACUGGGUUGGGAUCUCUUUUUGCUCUAAAGUUCAGAUGUUCAAAUCAGUCUUCACUGUUCUUUGAUGUUCUAGGUUCUAUAUCCAAAACCUAUUGCUAUAAAAUAAAUAAGAGGUUCCAGGUUCCAUUCUUGGGGUGCUUAUGCCAUACAAAUUUUUUUUCUCUCCAUUUUAAAACACUUUACUCAGCCUCACCCACGAGGAACUUAAUUUGUUAAUUAGUUCAAUCAGGUUUUAGAUAAGUUAAAACAAAAAAUGUGAUGUGGGAUCACCAGCACUGGUAUAGGAACCCAUGAAUUAAACAAAGUCAUUACUAAUUUGCUUACCCCCUUACAGAUCGGGCUACGUGAUUCAUCUCCUGUUGUGCUGACACACACAUGCAGUUCAUGUGUUGCAGGCACUGCCCUAUGCAACCACAUAGUGGCUUUGCUUUUUCAAACUGCACAUUUCUCUCAGCUCAGUGUGCCAGUAGUUCCUCCUGUGCACAGCUGUACUGAAACUGAACAGCGCUGGCACAAACCUCGGACAAUUGGUGUAAAGCCAGGACCAAUCAACAACAUGAUCACCUGUGCCAAAUCAAAAGUCUCAAGGAGUAGUUAGGAGUGGACUCUACAGGGGCAUGGUGGGCCCUUUACCGGAUCCAUGCAUGUUUAGAGUGGCAGAGGCUUAUGAAAAAUUCAGCCUUGAAGACAAGCCGCUGGUGACCACCAUGGGCAUGGAACUCAACAAGCCAGCUGUGCAGUGUGCAUUUGGUAUGGUGCAGGAGGGCAAUGUUCUGUCAUAUCAGCAGCCUGUUUUACCAUCACGACACAUCACGCUGCAUCCUGAUGUUCCAUCAACCCCACUUCUGCCUCUGAAAGACCACCACCUUGAUGCACCCACCUGUGCUUUUGUGUGCACUGAACAGGAGCUUUUUGAUAUGGCUCACAAAAUUGAGGUGUCAACUCGGGAGCAGAGUUCUUGGGCUGAGUGGCAUCUGCUCCGCAAGCCUAGAGUAACAAAUAAUUAAUAAAUAAUAAUAAUAAAUAAUAAAAAAUAAUAAAUAUUGGAAACAGAAUUUGUUUAGACUUAAUGUUUUAAUGUACAAAAAGUAUACAAAAUAUUUACAGAACCUGGUGUGUCUAAAAUAUGCUCUUUUACAGUUUAAUAAAUACAUAAUUUGUGGACAGAAAUGAGAAAAUGUAAAUAUUGAAUAUUCUGUAUACUUAUUAAAUUAUAGGGCGGCACGGUGGGUAGCACUGUCGCCUCACAGCAAGAAGGUCCUGGGUUCGAUCCCCAGGCGGGGCGGUCCGGGUCCUUUCUGUGUGGAGUUUGCAUGUUCUCCCCGUGUCUGUGUGGGUUUCCUCCGGGUGCUCCGGUUUCCUCCCACAGUCCAAAGACGUGCAAGUGAGGUGAACUGGAGAUAUAAAAUUGUCUGUAACUUUUCAAUAUAACUUGUGAACUUGUGAAGUGUAAAACAUGAUAUUAAAAUCCUAAUAAACAAACAAAAUUAAAUCAUAUGUUUACUUAAUAAAAGAUUGUUUGUGUUUUUGUGAAA
Long non-coding RNA from Trichomycterus rosablanca, 1966 nucleotides. RefSeq lists it as uncharacterized. The record is from RefSeq and is a predicted model, not a curated record. The transcript has 3 exons. Lineage: Eukaryota; Metazoa; Chordata; Actinopteri; Siluriformes; Trichomycteridae.